CACUCCUACGGGAGGCAGCAGUGGGGAAUUUUGGACAAUGGGCGAAAGCCUGAUCCAGCAAUGCCGCGUGCAGGAUGAAGGCCUUCGGGUUGUAAACUGCUUUUGUACGGAACGAAAAAGCUCCUUCUAAUACAGGGGGCCCAUGACGGUACCGUAAGAAUAAGCACCGGCUAACUACGUGCCAGCAGCCGCGGUAAUACGUAGGGUGCGAGCGUUAAUCGGAAUUACUGGGCGUAAAGCGUGCGCAGGCGGUUAUGUAAGACAGAUGUGAAAUCCCCGGGCUCAACCUGGGAACUGCAUUUGUGACUGCAUGGCUAGAGUACGGUAGAGGGGGAUGGAAUUCCGCGUGUAGCAGUGAAAUGCGUAGAUAUGCGGAGGAACACCGAUGGCGAAGGCAAUCCCCUGGACCUGUACUGACGCUCAUGCACGAAAGCGUGGGGAGCAAACAGGAUUAGAAACCCCUGUAGUCCCAU
Molecule: ribosomal RNA, 473 nt
Filed under: uncultured organism
Description: partial 16S ribosomal RNA
Rfam family: Bacterial small subunit ribosomal RNA
Source: RNAcentral